RNAcentral lists this unclassified non-coding RNA (289 nucleotides) under Xenorhabdus bovienii. RNAcentral describes it as "tmRNA". It matches the Rfam family "transfer-messenger RNA", at positions 10 to 307 of the family's 374-position model. From Rfam's summary of the family: Bacterial tmRNA, also known as 10Sa RNA or SsrA, is named for its dual tRNA and mRNA-like properties. RNAcentral also lists the same sequence under 3 other names. The record is from RNAcentral. Lineage: Bacteria; Pseudomonadati; Pseudomonadota; Gammaproteobacteria; Enterobacterales; Morganellaceae.
CUGGAUUCGACGGGAUUCGCGAAACCCAAGGUGCAUGCCGAGGGGCGGUUGGCCUCGUUAAAAGCCGCAAAAUAAUAGUCGCAAACGACGAAAACUACGCACUAGCAGCUUAAUAACCUGCUUAGAGCCCUCUCUCCCUAGCCUCCGCUCUUAGGACGGGGAUCAAGAGAGGUCAAACCCAAAAGAGAUCGCGUGGAUGCCCUGCCUGGGGUUGAAGCGUUAAAUCCAAUCAGGCUAGUUUGUUAGUGGCGUGUCUGUCCGCAGCUGGCAAGCGAAUGUAAAGACUAGA